CAUUAGAUGGCUGAAAGCAAGCAAUGGUCUCUUAAACCAUAAAAUAGUAAAUUAGCAAUUACUUCUAAUGA
RNAcentral lists this transfer RNA (71 nucleotides) under Symphoromyia crassicornis. Its description in RNAcentral is "tRNA-Lys". Lineage: Eukaryota; Metazoa; Arthropoda; Insecta; Diptera; Rhagionidae. The record is from RNAcentral.